Phlebiopsis gigantea 11061_1 CR5-6 is the source of this 88-nucleotide transfer RNA. It matches the Rfam family "tRNA". Rfam says of the family: Transfer RNA (tRNA) molecules are approximately 80 nucleotides in length. Their secondary structure includes four short double-helical elements and three loops (D, anti-codon, and T loops). The record is from Rfam. NCBI's taxonomy places the organism in Eukaryota, Fungi, Basidiomycota, Agaricomycetes, Polyporales, Phanerochaetaceae.
GCCUCGUUGGCGUAGUGGUAGCGCGUCGCACUUGUAAACUUUCCAGCUUUCAAUGCGAAGGCCACUCGUUCAAUCCGGGUACGAGGCA